GAUCAUGGCUCAGGAUGAACGCUGGCGGCGUGCCUAACACAUGGCAAGUCGAGCGAUUCUCUUCGGAGAAGAGCGGCGGACGGGUGAGUAACGCGUGGGUAACCUGCCUCAUACACAUGGAUAACAUACCGAAAGGUAUGCUAAUACAGGAUAAUAUAAGAGAUUCACAUGGAUUUCUAUCAAAGCUCCGGCGGUAUGAGAUGGACCCGCGUCUGAUUAGCUAGUUGGUAAGGUAACGGCUUACCAAGGCGACGAUCAGUAGCCGACCUGAGAGGGUGAUCGGCCACAUUGGAACUGAGACACGGUCCAAACUCCUACGGGAGGCAGCAGUGGGGAAUAUUGCACAAUGGGCGAAAGCCUGAUGCCAGCAACGCCGCGUGAGUGAUGAAGGCCUUCGGGUCGUAAAACUCUGUCCUCAAGGAAGAUAAUGACGGUACUUGAGGAGGAAGCCCCGGCUAACUACGUGCCAGCCGCAGC
This 477-nucleotide ribosomal RNA is filed under the name uncultured bacterium. RNAcentral's name for it is "bacterial SSU rRNA". It matches the Rfam family "Bacterial small subunit ribosomal RNA", at positions 15 to 518 of the family's 1533-position model. The record is from RNAcentral.